CUUCUACAUGAGGAAUACUUAUCUAAAGCUAUGGAAGAAAUUCCAAAUGAUGCUUUUUGUCAUAGUUACUCUGAUAGAUG
RNAcentral lists this small nuclear RNA (80 nucleotides) under Daucus carota subsp. sativus. Its description in RNAcentral is "sRNA DCAR_sn00342". Lineage: Eukaryota; Viridiplantae; Streptophyta; Magnoliopsida; Apiales; Apiaceae. The record is from RNAcentral.